UGAGGAAUAUUGGUCAAUGGCCGGGAGGCUGAACCAGCCAAGCCGCGUGAAGGAAGACGGCCCUACGGGUUGUAAACUUCUUUUGUCGGGGAACAAAAGGGAGGACGUGUCCUCCUCUGCGGGUACCCGAAGAAAGAGCAUCGGCUAACUCCGUGCCAGCAGCCGCGGUAAUACGGAGGAUGCGAGCGUUAUCCGGAUUUAUUGGGUUUAAAGGGUGCGUAGGCGGUCUGUUAAGUCAGCGGUAAAAGACCGGGGCUCAACCCCGGCAAGCCGUUGAAACUGGCGGACUAGAGACGGAGAGAAGUAAGCGGAAUGCGCAGUGUAGCGGUGAAAUGCAUAGAUAUUGCGCAGAACUCCGAUUGCGAAGGCAGCUUACCGGCUCCGGACUGACGCUGAGGCACGAAGGCGUGGGUAUCAAACAGGAUUAGAUACCC
Molecule: ribosomal RNA, 434 nt
Filed under: uncultured bacterium
Lineage: Bacteria
Description: bacterial SSU rRNA
Rfam family: Bacterial small subunit ribosomal RNA
Source: RNAcentral